AAGACCUUGCGCUUUUGGAGCGGCCGAUGCCUGAUUAGCUAGUUGGUGAGGUAAAGGCUUACCAAGGCUUCGAUCAGUAGCUGGUCUGAGAGGACGACCAGCCACACUGGGACUGAGACACGGCCCAGACUCCUACGGGAGGCAGCAGUGGGGAAUUUUGGACAAUGGGGGAAACCCUGAUCCAGCCAUGCCGCGUGAGUGAAGAAGGCCUUCGGGUUGUAAAGCUCUUUCAGCCGGAACGAAACGGUCACGGCUAAUACCUGUGAUCACUGACGGUACCGGAAGAAGAAGCACCGGCUAACUACGUGCCAGCAGCCGCGGUAAUACGUAGGGUGCGGGCGUUAAUCGGAAUUACUGGGCGUAAGCGUGCGCA
RNAcentral lists this ribosomal RNA (373 nucleotides) under uncultured Nitrosospira sp. Its description in RNAcentral is "bacterial SSU rRNA". It matches the Rfam family "Bacterial small subunit ribosomal RNA", at positions 207 to 573 of the family's 1533-position model. Lineage: Bacteria; Pseudomonadati; Pseudomonadota; Betaproteobacteria; Nitrosomonadales; Nitrosomonadaceae. The record is from RNAcentral.